AUUGAACGCUGGCGGCAGGCCUAACACAUGCAAGUCGAACGGUAACAGGGAUCAGCUUGCUGAUUCGCUGACGAGUGGCGGACGGGUGAGUAAUGUCUGGGAAACUGCCUGAUGGAGGGGGAUAACUACUGGAAACGGUAGCUAAUACCGCAUAACGUCGCAAGACCAAAGAGGGGGACCUUCGGGCCUCUUGCCAUCGGAUGUGCCCAGAUGGGAUUAGCUAGUAGGUGGGGUAACGGCUCACCUAGGCGACGAUCCCUAGCUGGUCUGCGAGGAUGACCAGCCAAACUGGAACUGGGACACGGUCCAGACUCCAAUGGGAGGCAGCAGUGGGGAAUAUUGCACAAUGGGCGCAAGCCUGAGGCAGCCAUGCCGCGUGUAUGAAGAAGGCCUUCGGGUUGUAAAGUACUUUCAGCGGGGAGGAAGAGAGUAAAGUUAAUACCUUUGCUCAUUGACGUUACCCGCAGAAGAAGCACCGGCUAACUCCGU
Molecule: ribosomal RNA, 489 nt
Filed under: uncultured bacterium
Lineage: Bacteria
Description: partial 16S ribosomal RNA
Rfam family: Bacterial small subunit ribosomal RNA
Source: RNAcentral